Small nuclear RNA from Pteronotus mesoamericanus, 104 nucleotides. The record is from RefSeq and is a predicted model, not a curated record. Lineage: Eukaryota; Metazoa; Chordata; Mammalia; Chiroptera; Mormoopidae.
GCUCACUUCGGCAGAACAUACACUAAAAUUAGAACAAAACAGAGAAGAUUAGCAUGGUCCUAUGCAAUGAUCACAUGAACAAUCAUGAAGCAUUCCAUAUUUUU